GUCAAAUCGUGCAGAGAAAAACUGGGGCAAAAGUCUUAUUUUGUAAUUUGUCAGAAUGGGUUCUGAAAAGCUGUGCUUGCUCCCAAGGGUUUCCUGCAGGCGAAAAGGAAACUUCCCUAAGACAGAAGAGGGAAUCCACCAUUUGGCCCCGGAUGGAUGGUCUCAGCCACAGGACAGGAACAAGGACAGGAAUCUGCUCACAGGUCCCCGCCCAGCUGCUCUCUGACCGGCCACAGUAUUCAGGCCAAGACACUCAGCUGUGACUGCGAAUGCUACUUGUCUGACCUAAGGAUCUAAGGACUGUAGCUGCCUUGUUUGCAUUUCUUACUCCAACGAUAACUCAAAGAAAAGAAAAUGAAUCACCGUGGAAAAUGAGGGGAGGGUGCAAAAGUAGUGCCGCAGAGCCUCAGAAUCCUCCCACCUGCCCUCCACCUGCAUCUCCACCAGCCCAUUCUCACCCUUCCCCACAUCGCAGGAGAGGAACCGCCCAGUUUCCGGGAAGACAGGGUCACUUGGUUUAGCUGGAGUGGUCCCACUCUUCCUAAGUACCUGGUCUUCACAGUAGCUGCUGUGGCAGGGAAGGACGCAAUCCCAGGACUAGACUCUUAUCUUCUCCUUUUGCCCAGGCCCCACCAGCUUCCACACUGAACAACACGGGGCCUGUGGAUCCAUCCUCAUCCCCUCCCUAAGCUACUGACCCACUCCCCUCCCCCUCCUGGCAUUGAUGGGCUGUCCUCAGGGAAGCCAGUGACCCUAGUCCAGGGCCUCAGACCAGGGUCAAGGGGCAGAAUGUCUACACCAGGCCAGGGAUCCCUGCAGACUGGUCUUCGGGAAGUGCACCCCCAGAUGCAAUCAGUUCACAGAGGAAAACCACAUUUUGUUUAGUCUUUUCCUAGUCUAGAAGGCCUAGUAUUUAAUAAACCCUGGAGCCAGCCCUGAGGGGGACUGGCUUUUAUGGGCUCCAGGCAGCUCUCUCAGCCUCUUCCCAGGUGGGGGGGCUUGGCCUGUUGGCAGCUGACUUGAGUUUUCUUCCCAGCCCCACCUCGCCCAAUGCCCCCACCUUUUCCAUGAGAUGAAGAGAAACUUGGCCUCCAAGGGUCACUCUUCUCCCCAGGAAUGUGUGGCCCAGCUUCUCCAGUUUAAAAGACUUUCCUCUGCUCCAGGGCUGACCCCAAACAGAUGGGAACCUCUAGAGCUUGGUUGGCCAAUGCCAUGUUCAGCCCAGUCACAGCUGAGAUCUUGUCACCUAGGUGAGUGCUUUACUGCUGGAGAAGUAGCAAUCAAGAGAACAGUUCUUUUUAACAUGGACAUGAGAGAUUUUAGGGACCAGUCCCCAGUGCUCAAAUCAUAGCAGGUCCCACCCAAGAACUUGGCUCAUCCACAAACCAAGCUCCUGCCAAGCCCUGGCUUAUGGAGAUGGACCAGACAUUCCUGGGGCAUCAUGGCAGGCGGCCACUGAUGCUGUCUCAAAUCCUGGGGUUCCAUAUUACGGAGAGAAUCAGCUGCAAAAGGCAACAAUUGUCUUUGAGUCACCCCUGCCCUUCCAAAAAUCAGGCUUUCAAGAGUUGAAGGCGUGAAGCGUAAUGCAGGGAAUUUCUGACAGUGCAGAGGGUAUCUGACAGGCUGGGAUGUUCCAGCGAUGACUGAACACGCAGAUUGAAUGGAACACUGAUUACAUUCUUGGUUAGCCGCCUAUAUAGCCCAUACUGGGUCCUCAUUACAUGUGCCCUAACAACAAACAUUAUGUUUCAUUAAAAUAUUACACACUUAGGAAAAUACUUCUAAAAAUGCAAAGAGGAGAAUAAAAACUACCGCAAGUGCUAUACUGAGACCCAGCGCUGUGGCAAGUUCCCCUGACCUGUCUGCAGGGAUCAUUACAAGCCGAUACUGGCUGCCCAGCGGGACCUGAUGAGACAUCAGAGAGCUCACGUGACCUCCAUUAUCACUGUCACCGCCGUGCGUGCUGUUCACACAAACAUCGGAGAUGUAAGUGACACUUUACAACAAUUCCUGAGCCUUCCAUCAUGUGGCUCAGAAUGUCAUGGCCCAGAUGAUGUCGGGGGGUAUUAAAACAAAUAAAUGAACCAUCGAACAAGUAAAUAAAUAAAUACACAAAGGAAAGCGGGGAGAGAGAGGGAAGGAACCGGUUAGGGCACUCACACAGUGCAGAGGAGUCUGAAAAGGAAUGCUGCCUGCUGGCGCCCUGGCUCUCUGUCUCUCUCCCUGUCUUUCUGUCUCUGUGUGUGUUUUUCCUCACUCUCUGUCUCUCUCGCCAUCUAGCUGUCUCUCCUCUCUCGGCCCUUUCUCAUCAUAAACCCCCUUACAUGUGAUCUCCUUUAAUCCUCACAACAGCCUGAUGUAGUCACUGGCUUUCCUCCUAUUUUACAGCUGAGAAAACUGGAGCUCUGAGAGAUGGACUACCUUGCUCCAAGACACACAGGUGAAUCCUAGUGGAGCUGGAGUCAGCCCCAGAUAGCUCUAUGCCCACCCUCCACCUCCCCCUCCAGCCUGUGUGUGCACGUAUGUGCGGGUGUGUUGAUGGGAAUAUACCCUAAGUCAGAUUGCAACUUGCAAUCUACAGCUCACGGACCAGAAACCUUAGCAUUUCCUGGGAGCUCUGUAGAAAUGCGGUGUCCCAGACCCCUCCCCAGACCUCCCAAGUCAGAAACUGCAUUUUCACAGGAUCCCUUGGGAACUCCUGGGCAUGUGACAGGCUAAGAAACACCUCUC
Molecule: long non-coding RNA, 2730 nt
Filed under: Homo sapiens (human)
Lineage: Eukaryota; Metazoa; Chordata; Mammalia; Primates; Hominidae
Description: HSALNT0269465
Source: RNAcentral